RNAcentral lists this long non-coding RNA (300 nucleotides) under Elaeis guineensis (African oil palm). RNAcentral describes it as "long non-coding RNA (EGUI_LNC069380)". Lineage: Eukaryota; Viridiplantae; Streptophyta; Magnoliopsida; Arecales; Arecaceae. The record is from RNAcentral.
GUGUAUUUUAUGAUUGUACUUCAUUAAUGGAUAUUUUUGGUUGAGGAUCAUCUUAUGCUUGUAUUUGUAGGUCUUGAACUUCUUCAAGUUUAAUUUUCUUCCCACUGUCUCUUUCUAGGAUAAUUUUUUUUUCAUAAAAAUGGCAUGCUUACUGACAAAAAUCUUUUAUUUAGUAGGGUGCUAAAAUAGGUAUCCUAUACUCUCUUUAGAUUAACCUACAAACAAGUAUUUAUCUACCAUAGCACUCUGCUUAUGUCCAAAAUUUCUUUUAACAUAAGCUGGACAGCUCCAUAUCUCAAG